Varroa destructor (honeybee mite) is the source of this 366-nucleotide long non-coding RNA. RefSeq lists it as uncharacterized. NCBI's taxonomy places the organism in Eukaryota, Metazoa, Arthropoda, Arachnida, Mesostigmata, Varroidae. The record is from RefSeq and is a predicted model, not a curated record.
UCGUUAUAACUUGAUAUCUCAUCGGAUGCAAAAACAGCUACUUUCAGCUUUGAAACUUGUACAUAUGGACAUUCUUUGGUUUACGAGAAUGAUUCUCGAGAUAAUCGGGAACGUAGGCAAAGUCCCUGGUAAAACGUCUUUUGCUCCCCGGAAACGGUAAACUCGCUGUUUGUUCAAAAUCUGCCUCCAGUGACAAUCAUCAGUAAGAGUUUCAGUAAUCAGUACAUUGGCAACAGCAGAUAUGGACCAUCUCAAUUCCCUAAUAAUGAUUCCUUCGUAAAAUCGACUUAAAUGUGCCGCAUAGAAACCUAUACGGGAUUUAGGCUGUAUCGAUUAUUCGGGAUAUACUCACGGGACGUUGGACGU